UACAGAGGUCUCAAGCGUUGUCCGGAUUUAUUGGGCGUAAAGAGCUCGUAGGCGGCUUAGUAAGUCGGGUGUGAAACCUCCAGGCUCAACCUGGAGACGCCACCCGAUACUGCUGUGGCUAGAGUCCGGUAGGGGAGCGUGGAAUUCCUGGUGUAGCGGUGAAAUGCGCAGAUAUCAGGAGGAACACCAGCGGCGAAGGCGGCGCUCUGGGCCGGUACUGACGCUGAGGAGCGAAAGCGUGGGGAGCAAACAGG
Molecule: ribosomal RNA, 254 nt
Filed under: uncultured bacterium
Lineage: Bacteria
Description: partial 16S ribosomal RNA
Rfam family: Bacterial small subunit ribosomal RNA
Source: RNAcentral